CUCUUUCCCAGAUUACGGCCAUACCUUUCUUCCAUUUCGCCGCUCCGGAAUGAGCAAUUCGCCUGCACCACGAAUUGCACAAGCCCUCAUUCUGAAAUCGAAGCAGUUGAUUAGAGAGAAAUAAAGGAUUUUCGUCGAUUUGUGCAACGAUUUCAAUCUCGUUAACUGGGAAUUAUAUCCAGCGUGAUGUUAGGAUGGCCAAGAACAUAAGAAUUGAUGUGACGGAAGAGAACAGAGCUAAAGCAUCUGCGACUGCAAAGACAAUGAACGAAUUGCUGUUCAAAAGAAUAGGAAGGCCGUUGACGGUGUUUCUCUUAGCAUCAUUAUAGUUGCCACCAGGUACAGUAAAAGCUGCAGCAAAUGCUACUAUAGAGAUAAGGGUUGCUACUAAGAUACAUGAAUGUGAGUUGAAGAAACUCAAAUGAGUAAAGCAGGAUCCUGAUGGAAAUAGGAGAGAUGAAUGAAGAUAAAAGAAUAUAAACAGCAACAGCAAGAGAACAAGAUAAUAAGAUUCUGAAGUCCACUAAGAUGGCAAAAACAAAAAAGAUUGGUUCUUUUUGUUUUUUGUAUCUUUUUCUUCCACUACCUUCAAUAAUUCGUUGAUGGUGAAUGCUUUGUACUGCAGACCAAAGAUUGUCUAAUUCGAUUUUGGGUAGGCAGAUGCAAGUUAAACGUAAUACAAGUCCGAAAGCACAGAAGGCAGUAUGAUCCACCCACCUAAAUUAUCACUUGCAUUCAAAACAAGUGGACCUUUCUCAAUCUUCUCUAAAGGGAUUAUAAGGCGCAGGAUCUUAGAUUGCCCAACAAUGCGGGUCUGAUAAUCUCAACACGCCCCAUCACGUGUAGCCUCGUUUGGUCUGGGUGUGCGGAGUAAAGGCGAGGUCAGAUGAUUGUCGCGAAUAGCGGUCUGGGUGUGCGGAGUAAAGGCGAGGUCAGAUGAUUGUCGCGAAUAGCGUGCUCUGGUACUAUGUUAGAUUACGGGCAUCCAACUCAUAACCAAUUGGCAAUGAAUGGAGAGGCCCCAAGGGAUUAUAAACCGCAGGAUUUUAGAUUGCCCAACAAUGUGGGACUAAUAAUCUCAACAAAUAUUGAUAUUCUAUUAUACUUUCAUGUUAUAAUUUUAGUGGACAUACUAAAUAGGAUACAGUAGAACUUCGAUAAAUAGGUCAGUUUAAUAACAGAAAGAUUAUUGAAAGAUUAUUUCAUGAAAUAUUGAAAGAUUAUUUCAUGUUAUACUUUCAUGA
Molecule: long non-coding RNA, 1244 nt
Organism: Papaver somniferum (opium poppy)
Lineage: Eukaryota; Viridiplantae; Streptophyta; Magnoliopsida; Ranunculales; Papaveraceae
Exons: 5
Source: RefSeq, a predicted model, not a curated record